AGAGUUUGAUCCUGGCUCAGAUUGAACGCUGGCGGAAUGCUUUACACAUGCAAGUCGAACGGCAGCACGGGAGCUUGCUCCUGGUGGCGAGUGGCGAACGGGUGAGUAACGCGUCGGAACGUACCGAGUAAUGGGGGAUAACGCAGCGAAAGUUGUGCUAAUACCGCAUACGCCCUGAGGGGGAAAGGAGGGGAUCGCAAGACCUUUCGCUUUCGGAGUGGCCGAUAUCAGAUUAGCUAGUUGGUGGGGUAAAGGCCUACCAAGGCAACGAUCUGUAGCUGGUCUGAGAGGACGACCAGCCACACUGGGACUGAGACACGGCCCAGACUCCUACGGGAGGCAGCAGUGGGGAAUUUUGGACAAUGGGGGCAACCCUGAUCCAGCCAUGCCGCGUGAGUGAAGAAGGCCUUCGGGUUGUAAAGCUCUUUCAGCCGGAAAGAAAUCGUGCAACCUAAUACGUUGUAUGGAUGACGGUACCGGAAGAAGAAGCACCGGCUAACUACGUGCCAGCAGCCGCGGUAAUAC
This 525-nucleotide ribosomal RNA is filed under the name uncultured Gallionellaceae bacterium. Its description in RNAcentral is "bacterial SSU rRNA". It matches the Rfam family "Bacterial small subunit ribosomal RNA", at positions 8 to 526 of the family's 1533-position model. The record is from RNAcentral. Lineage: Bacteria; Pseudomonadati; Pseudomonadota; Betaproteobacteria; Nitrosomonadales; Gallionellaceae.